CUGUGUCCAGGAUGGACCCACAUCACCAUCUGCUGGGAAAAGGCUGACCAUCUACAUGUUGGAAUCAUGUCCUGUAGAUGAACAAGUCCAGAUGGCGCAUGAUCACUUGUUGCCUCUUGUUGAGAAAAUCCACCCGAACUUGGCAAAUAAGAUCACCUGGAUGCUUGCAGGGAACCAGAACAAUUACGAAAUCAUGAAUAUGAUCAGCGAUCCUGAGCUCCUGUAUGCCAAAGUGGAUGAAAUGGACGCGAUCCUGAAGGCGAGGGAAGCUGGUCUCAAGCCGG
Long non-coding RNA from Neoarius graeffei (lesser salmon catfish), 284 nucleotides. RefSeq lists it as uncharacterized. The record is from RefSeq and is a predicted model, not a curated record. Lineage: Eukaryota; Metazoa; Chordata; Actinopteri; Siluriformes; Ariidae. The transcript has 3 exons.